This 900-nucleotide ribosomal RNA is filed under the name uncultured bacterium. RNAcentral's name for it is "bacterial SSU rRNA". It matches the Rfam family "Bacterial small subunit ribosomal RNA", at positions 20 to 906 of the family's 1533-position model. The record is from RNAcentral.
UGGCUCAGGACGAACGCUGGCGGCGCGCUAAUACAUGCAAGUCGAGCGAGAACCAAGGCUUCGGCCGUGGGGACAGCGGCGAACGGGUGAGUAACACGUGGGUAAUCAACCCCCGACACUGGGAUAGCCCGGGGAAACCCGGAUUAAUACCGGAUGCUCCGUCUGGCCCGAGGGCCGGCCGGAAAAGGGUAGCUUCGGCCUCCGGUCGGGGACGAGCCCGCGGCGGAUUAGCUUGUUGGUGGGGUAACGGCCCACCAAGGCGACGAUCCGUAGCUGGUCUGAGAGGACGAUCAGCCACACUGGGACUGAGACACGGCCCAGACUCCUACGGGAGGCAGCAGUAGGGAAUCUUGCGCAAUGGGCGAAAGCCUGACGCAGCGACGCCGCGUGAGGGAAGAAGGCCUUCGGGUUGUAAACCUCUUUCAGGAGGGACGAAGCCACUCGGGUUAAUAGCCCAGAGGGUGACGGUACCUCCAGAAGAAGCCCCGGCUAACUACGUGCCAGCAGCCGCGGUAAUACGUAGGGGGCAAGCGUUGUCCGGAUUUAUUGGGCGUAAAGAGCGUGUAGGCGGCCAUACAGGUCAGCUGUGAAAACUCGAGGCUCAACCUCGAGACGUCGGUUGAAACCGUAUGGCUAGAGUCCGGAAGAGGAGAGUGGAAUUCCCGGUGUAGCGGUGAAAUGCGCAGAUAUCGGGAAGAACACCCGUGGCGAAGGCGGCUCUCUGGGACGGUACUGACGCUGAGACGCGAAAGCGUGGGGAGCGAACAGGAUUAGAUACCCUGGUAGUCCACGCCGUAAACGAUGGGUACUAGGUGUGGCGGGUGUCGACUCCCGCUGUGCCGAAGCUAACGCAUUAAGUACCCCGCCUGGGGAGUACGGCCGCAAGGCUAAAACUCAAAU